This 571-nucleotide long non-coding RNA is filed under the name Homo sapiens (human). RNAcentral describes it as "non-protein coding lnc-ZNF208-3:1". The record is from RNAcentral. Lineage: Eukaryota; Metazoa; Chordata; Mammalia; Primates; Hominidae.
CAGAGAGUGAAGCCUGAGCUGCAGGAGGAGAGCCUGCAGGCCUCCUGGGUAGAACUGCACCUUCACAAUAAAGGGAAUGGAAGAAGUGUUUCAGCCUCAGUGCCAAUUUAUAAUGGUGACAUGAAAAAAUACUGCUGGAUUUGCAGUAUGAGUCUCGGUAGAGAUCACUCCAAGAGUCAUCCCUGUGACAGCCCACCUCAUUCAAAGACACCACGGGAUACGCAUAAGGCUUCUAAAACAGACACCCAAAGCAUUUGAGAGAAAAACAGCUCUCAAAUGAGCAAGAUUUUAUUGAGAGAAAUAAAGAAGUUAAAAGCAUCUUAAGAAAAACUCAAAUUAGACAUAAGAUUUAUCGAAAUAGCCAGAAAAUAUUCCCCUGAAAAGAAUUUCUAAGCAUCCAGAGUGCACAGCUACUCUCAGCAUGAGAAACAUGAGCAUUAUAAAGAAAGUGUGCAUAUUUUCAGCAGAAUUUCAUAAGGUUUCUCUUUCAUCUCUGUUGCUCUCUCAUCUCCUAGCCAUUGAAUGGGGGAUCUAUGUUGAAAUACAUCUGACAACUUCCACCAGCACUUUU